UGGGGAAGGGAACUAGGA
RNAcentral lists this unclassified non-coding RNA (18 nucleotides) under Mus musculus (house mouse). RNAcentral's name for it is "oocyte_clustered_small_RNA12149". The record is from RNAcentral. Lineage: Eukaryota; Metazoa; Chordata; Mammalia; Rodentia; Muridae.